This 319-nucleotide ribosomal RNA is filed under the name Shigella sonnei. Its description in RNAcentral is "bacterial SSU rRNA". It matches the Rfam family "Bacterial small subunit ribosomal RNA", at positions 1 to 316 of the family's 1533-position model. The record is from RNAcentral. Lineage: Bacteria; Pseudomonadati; Pseudomonadota; Gammaproteobacteria; Enterobacterales; Enterobacteriaceae.
AAAUUGAAGAGUUUGAUCAUGGCUCAGAUUGAACGCUGGCGGCAGGCCUAACACAUGCAAGUCGAACGGUAACAGGAAACAGCUUGCUGUUUCGCUGACGAGUGGCGGACGGGUGAGUAAUGUCUGGGAAACUGCCUGAUGGAGGGGGAUAACUACUGGAAACGGUAGCUAAUACCGCAUAACGUCGCAAGACCAAAGAGGGGGACCUUCGGGCCUCUUGCCAUCGGAUGUGCCCAGAUGGGAUUAGCUAGUAGGUGGGGUAACGGCUCACCUAGGCGACGAUCCCUAGCUGGUCUGAGAGGAUGACCAGCCACACUGG